UAUUUUCGUAAGUCAUAAUAAAAAUUUUCACUGUACCGUGGUAGCGGCGAAAUAUGUACGGCGUGACAUUUAUUCCGCAAACAACGACGCUAACGUGAGCUUCUCACUCUCCUCGACAAAUUCCAUUAACGCCAUCGUUUUCACUGCUUUCGUCCCUCAGGUCUGGUUUUAUUCUCAAUAUCUCUCUCUCUAUUUACCUCUUUCUCUCUUUACGCUUUACUAAUUCUCUUAAAAACCCUAGAUUUUUGUUAUUUCCUUGUUUGAAAUCUUAUUUCUUCAUUGGAUUCCAUGCACGAGAGAGAGAGAGAGAGAGAGUAGGACCAAGGCAUUGACGAUAAGAAACUCUAUCCAUUUUUAUCUGUGAAUAUAAUUUUUUUUGGUGAAUAUUUAAGGAUUUGAUAAGUGUUGGAACAUUUGAUUUUGGCUAUGGCUUCAGUUGCUUGAAGGAGGGAAUCUUUAUUCGAAAUUAUGAGCUUUAAUUUUUUGGUAAUUGAGAGAUGGAAAGUGAUGAUGGUUCAAAUUCCAAGGCAGGUCCGCAAUUGCAAUUUGAUUUGGGGAAUAAUGUUGAGCUAGGGUUAGAAAAGGUUUCAUUACAGAAAUCGUUGAAACCUAGGAACAAGAAAAUGGAUGGUAGUAAGGGUUCUAAGAAAAGAUUACAGGUCAAAGCAGUGGAGGUUGGUCUUGAUUCAGAUGAUGAUGAGCCCAUUGGGUCUUUGUUGACAAGGAAACCUAAGAAUGCUAAAAUGGUUAAGUCUGGCUUGGAGGGCAGUGUUGAGAAGUGCCAGAACGUCGAUGUUAAGGCAGGUAAAACCCUGGGCGAGGAUGAGGAGGAUUUGGGGGGAAUGAAUGAUACGUUGGCGAGCUUUAGGAAGAAGUUAAAGGGUCCUAAAAAAGAUAUUGAACUGGGAGCAAUGAGGGGAAGGGGUUAUUCUUUGAAUGAGUCUGUCGAGGAUGGUGAGGUUUUGAAUGAGAAAUCUGUGUCAAACACUGGAGCUAAGGGUCAGGAUAUUGGUGAAGAUAGGUCUGAUGUGGUUAAUGAUAAAGGGGUCGAACAAAAGCGUACAUUGAAAGUAAGGAGUAACACGUUUGAUUCAAAAGCAAAGCCCAGUGGGGUUGAUGAUGAAUCAGAAGGGUUGGAAUCUCAACUUGAGAAAGAUCAGAAUGAGGGAAGCAUGUGGCCUGGAGAAGGAUCGAAUCAAUCUUUGGAUGAGAAGUUGGAAGGGUUAUUGUCAACCUUUAUUCACAGGUCUCAAUCUGUUUCACUAAGGAAAUCUUGCCCAAAUUCUAGUUCGAAACGGAAUUGCAAAGCCACCCAUCAUGCUUCUGCUUCAACAAACCCUAGCAAAAAUUGCGAUGAUUUUGUAUGCAAUACAGCUGAGGACCAAAGAUUUGACGGUGGUGUGUGUCAACAAGAAAGCAUUUUGGAACCAUGUGAUUUAGAUGUUCAAAAGGGUCGUAUAGAGGAUCUGAGCAGGUCGCCUAAAGUUUGUGACAAGGAUUCUGACACUGCAUUCCGGGACAAUUGUUUGGGAAUUGACCAGAGGGGUAAACCAGAAAGUGAAGGUCUAAAGGAUGGAUUAAAGCUUCAAUCUACAGGUAAAACAGGCAGUUCAGUGCGCUGUGUAGUAGAAAUGCCCAACUCUCUUUCUUCCUCAAAGCAGAUGGAAGCAAACCUUGGGUCUGGUAGUGGAGGUUUGUUUCUGCAACCUGUGGACAUUUCAAGUGCAGAUCCGGAAAUUUCUUUAGCUGGGAAAGAGAACUCUAAUGAUGAGUUGUUAAACAAGUCUUACAAAAAUGCAUAUGAAAAGGCUGCAAAAUUAGAAAGUCAUUAUAAUCUGUCUCUGUCUGCUGUUGAUUCACUGAAGAUGGAAGAGACUUGCAGUGAUGGUCCAAAUACUUGUGCUGAGGAAAAAUUUUUAGAAACCUCUGUUUAUCCCAAACUUGUUUCCAUUCAGAGGUGCAACUUUGCUUUCCAUCAACAAUCGGAAAGGGCAUGCCAUGGGCCCUGUGUUCACAGCCGUGGUAGUCUUUUCAUCAAUGAAGAGGCUAAUGGAGAUUCUUCCACAUCUUUAACACCUGAUGAAAAUGAAAGUUGCCAUGAAGAUGCAGUCUCUCUGCCUAGUUCUGACAUCAAAGACAGUAAGUCAUCAGUUUUCCAGCGACGUGGGCGCAAUAUUAAAAAACGUAGGCAUGGAGAUAUGGCUUAUGAAGGGGAUGCUGAUUGGGAGAAUUUGAUGAAUGAGCAAGGUUUUUUUGGAAGUCAACAUUUUGUGGACAGUGAUUGUUCCGUCAGAGCAAGAGAGAAGUUUGAUGAGGCAGCAGUAUCAGCUGGACUGAAAGCUCGUUCUGUGGGUCCAGUUGAGAAGAUCAAAUUCAAGGAGGUCUUGAAGUGUAGAGGUGGGCUACAGGAAUAUUUGGAAUGCAGGAAUCAUAUCUUAGGUCUCUGGAGUAAAGAUGUUACCCGUAUUUUGCCUAUUGUUGACUGUGGUGUUAGUGAUACUCCUUCAGAGGGUGAACCACUGCGAGCUUCCUUAAUUAGGGAGACAUAUGCAUUUCUUGAUCAGAGUGGUUAUAUAAACUUUGGAAUUGCUUCCAAGAAAGAGAAGGCAGAACUUAGUGCUAAGCAUAACUACAAACUUCUAGAGGAAAAAAAUUUUGAGGGUAGCUCUGGGGCCUCUGUUGCUGAUUCAGAGGAUGGGGUUGCCUUCAUCCUUGGUCAGGUCAAGACUUCUGAAGGUACUAUGGAUGCAAAGAAUGUUGUUAGAGUUGAUGAUCAAAACCAGGCAUCUGAAGCCACGAUAUCUGAAGUAUUGGUUAAUUCUAUCACAUCAGAAUUACCUUAUGUAAAAGAACAAGAAGAAUACCCAAGUGAUUCUUGCCAGCAAAAUGGAUGCAUUGAUGCAAAAUUAAACCCUGGAUUGAUUAGUUUUCACGUUCCAAGUGCUGAUCUAUCUUUUGAUGCAGUUGAAAUGGGAAUAGCCCCUGUAACAACUCUGGAAGAAGGGAGUGACUCACAAUAUGUUCAAUCUGCAGCUUAUGAUAAUCCUGACAGGAAUCAACACCAGCAGGGUGAUUCAGAGGUCAGGAAGAAAAUCAUAGUUGUUGGAGCUGGUCCUGCUGGAUUGACUGCUGCAUGCCACUUGCAACGUCAGGGAUUUUCUGUAGUUGUACUUGAGGCUAGGGAUAGGAUAGGAGGUCGUGUUUAUACUGAUCGCUCCUCUCUUUCAGUACCUGUGGAUCUUGGUGCUAGCAUUAUUACUGGAGUUGACGCUGAUGUGUCAACUAAUAGAAGACCAGAUCCUUCCUCAUUGGUUUGUGCACAGUUGGGGCUAGAGUUAACUGUGUUAAAUAGUGCAUGUCCUCUUUAUGACAUUGUAUCUGGUCAAAAGGUUCCUGCAGAUCUGGAUGAUGCUCUGGAAGCUGAAUACAACGCUCUUCUUGAUGAUAUGGUGUUUCUUGUUGCUCAAAAAGGUGAAAAAGCAAUGAGAAUGUCUCUUGAGGAUGGUUUAGAAUAUGCCCUUAGAAGGCAUCGCAUGGAAAAAAUAGGAGCAGAUAUUGGAGAAACAGAAUUACAUUCUUCAAUUGAUGCUUUCUAUGAUUCCAAAUCAAGCAAUGUCAUUGGAAAAUUUCCUGAAGAAAAAUAUUCUGAAGAGGAGAUUUUGAGUCCCCUUGAGAGAAGGGUUAUGAAUUGGCACUACGCCCACUUGGAGUAUGGUUGUGCUGCUUCACUUAAGGAAGUGUCUCUUCCCCAUUGGAAUCAAGAUGAUGUUUAUGGUGGCUUUGGAGGAGCUCAUUGUAUGAUUAAAGGAGGUUACAGCAAAGUAGUUGAGUCUCUUGGAGAAGGACUUCCCAUCCACUUGAACCAUGUAGUCACUAACAUUUUGUACAGCCCAAAGGGCGCAAAGGGCUCUGGAAUUGACGAUAUUCAACAUAGGCAGGUCAAAGUUUCCAUAUCAAAUGGCAGUGAAUUUUCAGGAGAUGCUGUGCUUGUUACUGUGCCACUUGGUUGCUUGAAAGCAGGAGCCAUAAAGUUUUCUCCUCCAUUGCCCCAAUGGAAACAUUCUUCCAUACAGCGGCUUGGUUUCGGAGUUCUUAAUAAAGUUAUCUUGGAAUUUCCAGAAGUGUUUUGGGAUGAUACCGUGGAUUACUUUGGAGUGACUGCUGAGGAAACAGAUAGUAGGGGCCAUUGCUUUAUGUUUUGGAACGUCAGAAAAACUGUUGGUGCUCCUGUUCUCAUAGCCUUAGUGGCUGGUAAGGCAGCUAUUGAUGGUCAAUGUAUGAGAUCAUCGGAUCAUAUAAAACAUGCAGUAAUUGCUCUCCGUAAACUUUUUGGAGAGGCUUCAGUUCCUGAUCCAGUUGCCUCUGUAGUGACUGAUUGGGGCAGGGAUCCUUUCAGCUAUGGUGCUUACUCCUAUGUUGCCAUUGGAGCAUCGGGAGAAGACUAUGAUAUGUUGGGCAAGCCCGUUGAGAACUGCUUAUUUUUUGCUGGAGAAGCUACUUGCAAGGAGCAUCCUGACACAGUUGGUGGUGCAAUGUUGAGUGGACUUCGGGAGGCUGUGCGACUGAUUGACAUACUCACCACUGGAAAUGAUUAUACAGCUGAAGUAGAGGCAAUGGAGACUGCACAGAGACAAUCAGAAUCGGAAAGGGAUGAAGCUAGGGACAUAAUCAAGAGACUUGAAGCAGUUGAACUUUCUAAUGGCUUGUACAAAAACUCUUUGGACCGAGCUCGGCUUUUGUCCAGGGAAGCUUUACUACGGGAUAUGUUCUUCAAUGUGAAAACCACUGCAGGACGAUUGCAUCUGGCCAAAAAGUUGUUGGGUCUCCCACUAGAAUCCUUAAAAUCCUUUGCUGGGACAAAGGAGGGGCUUACCACACUCAACUCAUGGAUGCUGGAUUCGAUGGGAAAAGAUGGUACUCAACUGUUGCGCCAUUGUGUUCGUCUUCUUGUGCUUGUUUCAACUGAUCUACUUGCAGUUCGUUCAUCAGGCAUAGGGAAAACUGUUAAGGAAAAAGUUUGUGUACAUACAAGUCGUGACAUACGUGCUAUAGCAAGCCAGCUAGUUAAUGUGUGGCUUGAAGUGUUCCGUAAGGCAAAAGCUUCUUCAAUGAGGAAAUCCCUUAAAGAUCCUGCCCCAGGAAAGCCACCUCUACGCUCGCAUCAUGCUACUUUAGAGAGUAAACGAACCUUGCAGGAUUCUUUUUCUGUUGGAAACCAGUAUCCUUUCAAUGUGAAAGAGAAUGGUAAAUCAAUUGAUAUGGAGAUGGAAGCCGUCAACCUAGCAAUGUCUGAGGAAGAGCAGGCUGCCUUUGCUGCUGAAGCAGCUGCUCGAGCUGCAGCAAAAGCUGCUGCUGAGGCACUUGCAUCCACAGAAGCCAACUGCAACAAAUUGCCACAGCUUCCCAAGAUUCCUUCAUUUCACAAAUUUGCGAGAAGGGAGCAAUAUGCACAAAUGGAUGAAAGGAAGUGGCCUGGUGGUGUUUUGGGAAGGCAAGAUUGUAUAUCAGAAAUAGACUCUAGGAACUGCAGAGUUAGGGACUGGUCUGUUGAUUUCUCUGCUGCUUGUGUUAACCUUGACGGUUCCAGAAUGUCAGUAGAUAAGCUGUCUCAGAGGAGCCAUUCGAAUGAGAUUGCUAGCCACUUGAAACUUAGAGAGCACUCUGGAGAAAGUUUGGCUGUGGACAGCAGUAUCUUCACAAAAGCAUGGGUUGAUACUGCUGGUAGUGGGGGGAUUAAGGAUUAUCAUGCCAUUGAAAGAUGGCAGUCUCAAGCUGCUGCUGCUGAUUCAGAUUUCUUCCAUCCAACAAUGCAUGCCAAGGAUGAGGAAGAUUCAAAUACUAGUUCAAGGCAACCAAAAUGGAAGCAUGAUGGACGAGCGAAUGAGAGCUCCAUCUCCCAAGUUACAGUAAACAAGGAGCAAUUUAAAAAUCAUCCUAGUGGAGCUAAUCGUAUUAAGCAGGCUGUUGUUGAUUAUGUUGCAUCAUUGCUAAUGCCCCUUUAUAAGGCAAGAAAAAUUGAUAAGGACGGAUACAAAUCGAUAAUGAAGAAAACUGCAACAAAGGUAAUGGAGCAGGCGACAGAUGCAGAGAAAAACAUGGCUGUUUCUGAAUUUCUUGAUUUCAAGCGCAAAAAUAAGAUUCGUUCCUUUGUGGACAAAUUGAUUGAGAGGCACAUGGCAAUGAAGCCAGUCAGUAAACAUUGAUGGUGUUAAGGAUUGACUGGUUAUGCUUUAUUGGACGCUACACUGCAAGACCUAUGAAAGCUUCCUCUGCAUGAGUUCACUGCCCUUAAUGAUGGUGGUGCUGCACAAAGAGUUCUACAAUCUGCAGUUCAUGAUCCGGAAGGUGUCAUUGGAAGGAAAAACAUGGUUUUGUGUUUUACAAUCUUGAUUGACCCUCAAAACAAAGCAAAAGUUGCUCAAGUUGAUGCUUUCUUGCCAAUUUUAUCGGAACUGGCACUGGAAUAUGUUUGAGGAGGCUGUAUUUGGAUGUUGAAUUGGCUUCUUUAUUAUAUAUGGGCUCAAUAAAAGUGUUGUGGCUCAUCUAUCUCAUCUGGGUUUUGGGCAAUCGUGUGGCAUUGAAGAUGACAUCAAGAUCCUUAUAUGAAUUGGCUUAAUGACGUUGUACUUCAAAGGGUGGUAGUCAAGACCCAAAAUUUUAUUCUGAAUCCAUUCUGACAGAUGAGACAUUACUGGUUGGCAUAAUGUUGCGGUUCUGGCCGAUGAGAGGUAUGUGCUCUUUUACCUUUUAUGUACUGAAUUCCUAGUGCCUAGAAACUAUUGUGUAACUGUGACCACAAGUUGGAUGCUGAUGUUGCAAAGAUCCAAUUAAUAUAGCUGAAGCUUGAUUAUUUUUACAUUAUCUUUUGUCUCGGAUGUUCAGCAUUUUAUUUGCAUCAACUUUGAAGGUUUGUAAGCAAUAGAACAAACUAGAUGAAAGUGCUUUAACAUGAUGGUUUCAUUCCUGUCAAAGUAUAAAGGCGGAGUAGAGAUGUAUACUGGUACUCCAUGGAACUUGACUGCUUCUGAAGAAUUAAACCCUUAUCUCAGGCUAAUUGAGGUAUGGCGGGUUUGAGCCGUGACUGACUAUUUAGGACUCAAUGUAUUUGGUGACAGUUGAAAUCCUAAUGAUUAUGGGGUUCAUUCAGUUACAAGUGGACGUAUUUAUUUGAAAAAUUGCUUUGCAUUUUAUCUUUUAUUGUUGGUUGAUAACUUAAGCAUGUAAAACUUCACCCAUAAAGAAGAGGGGAGAUGAGGAAAGGGUGUGGGCGGGGGAUUCUGUGAAAAGAUGGGUCUUGCUUGAACAAUGGUCAUCCCCCCUAACGAAACCAGACUCGGAGUUUAGUUUGGGCCAUUCUUUUUUGUUUUCAGAUCAUAAUGUUUUUCUUUAAUGUUAUCCCGCUUCAGAUUCAAUUAAGCCCCAAUAAUAAAACUUU
Molecule: non-coding RNA, 7435 nt
Organism: Durio zibethinus
Lineage: Eukaryota; Viridiplantae; Streptophyta; Magnoliopsida; Malvales; Malvaceae
Source: RefSeq, a predicted model, not a curated record